RNAcentral lists this ribosomal RNA (683 nucleotides) under uncultured Gemmatimonadota bacterium. RNAcentral describes it as "bacterial SSU rRNA". It matches the Rfam family "Bacterial small subunit ribosomal RNA", at positions 8 to 699 of the family's 1533-position model. Lineage: Bacteria; Pseudomonadati; Gemmatimonadota. The record is from RNAcentral.
AGAGUUUGAUCCUGGCUCAGGACGAACGCUGGCGGCGUGCCUAACACAUGCAAGUCGAACGGGGCCAGGGCAACUCUGGUUCAGUGGCGGACGGGUGCGUAACACGUGAGGAACAUGACCUUCGGCGGGGGAUAGCCGGCCCAACGGCCGGGUAAUACCGCGUACGACCUUUCGGGGACACCCCCGGCUGGUGAAAGCAGCAAUGCACCGAAGGAGUGCCUCGCGGCCUAUCAGCUAGUUGUGAGGUAACGGCUCACCAAGGCGACGACGGGUAGCUGGUCUGAGAGGAUGGCCAGCCACAUUGGGACUGAGACACGGCCCAGACUCCUACGGGAGGCAGCAGUGGGGAAUAUUGCGCAAUGGGCGAAAGCCUGACGCAGCGACGCCGCGUGUGGGAUGACGGCCUUCGGGUUGUAAACCACUGUCGGGAGGGACGAAUGCGCCGCAAGGCGAGUGACGGUACCUCCAAAGGAAGCACCGGCUAACUCCGUGCCAGCAGCCGCGGUAAUACGGAGGGUGCGAGCGUUGUCCGGAAUCACUGGGCGUAAAGGGCGCGUAGGCGGCCUGAUAAGUAGGGGGUGAAAUCUUGCGGUUAACCGCAAGGCUGCCUUCUAAACUGUCAGGCUAGAGCACAGUAGAGGCAGGUGGAAUUCCCGGUGUAGCGGUGGAAUGCGUAGAGAUCU